CCUACGGGUGGCAGCAGUGGGGAAUAUUGCACAAUGGGGGAAACCCUGAUGCAGCGACGCCGCGUGAGUGAAGAAGUAAUUCGUUACGUAAAGCUCUAUCAGCAGGGAAGAACAUGACGGUACCUGAGUAAGAAGCCCCGGCUACCUACGUGCCAGCAGCCGCGGUAAUACGUAGGGGGCAAGCGUUAUCCGGAUUUACUGGGUGUAACGGGAGCGUAGACGGUGCGCCAAGUCUGGCGUGAAAUGCCGCAGCUGAACUGCGGAACUGCUGUGGAGACUGGCGAACUAGAGUGCGGGAGGGGGAAGCGGAAUGCCUAGUGUAGCGGUGAAAGGCGGAGAUAGUAGGAGGAACACCGGUGGCGAAGGCGGCUUACUGGACCGUAACUGACGCUGAGGCUCGAAAGCGUGGGGAGCAAACAGGAUUAGAUACCCCUGUAGUC
Molecule: ribosomal RNA, 440 nt
Filed under: uncultured bacterium
Lineage: Bacteria
Description: partial 16S ribosomal RNA
Rfam family: Bacterial small subunit ribosomal RNA
Source: RNAcentral